ACCAAUUGGCAAUGAGAUGGUUUCAACAAAACCAUCAACUAUAAUAUCUUUCACUGUCGUGUGCCUGUCCAGCGAUGCUUCCCAUCCUUCGUCAGUUGCAUCCGCAUCAGAACUGCCGUCUAAGGAUGUACCGUGAAAUGGCAAUCCUGUCAAUUCAGCAAAAUCUUCAAAAGACAUUGAUAACCUUUUACCUUUAAUCUGAGUCUUGAAUCCCUUAUCAGUAAGCUUGAAGUUUGCCUAAAACUCCCUUAUCAAUUUUGGAUAACUGUCCAAAGUAGAUGAAAGAAAACCUUCAAGACCAUGAAAUCUCAAAUGAUCUUGGAAUGUGAAGCCUUCUGUAUCGAAGUAGGCAAAAUCCAG
RNAcentral lists this long non-coding RNA (360 nucleotides) under Cicer arietinum (chickpea). RNAcentral's name for it is "long non-coding RNA (CARI_LNC003548)". Lineage: Eukaryota; Viridiplantae; Streptophyta; Magnoliopsida; Fabales; Fabaceae. The record is from RNAcentral.